ACAGCAGUCGCCGCGGUAACACGAAGGGUGCAAGCGUUAAUCGGAAUUACUGGGCGUAAAGCGUGCGUAGGCGGUUUGUUAAGUCUGUUGUGAAAUCCCCGGGCUCAACCUGGGAAUGGCAAUGGAUACUGGCAGGCUAGAGUGUGUCAGAGGAUGGUGGAAUUCCCGGUGUAGCGGUGAAAUGCGUAGAGAUCGGGAGGAACAUCAGUGGCGAAGGCGGCCAUCUGGGACAACACUGACGCUGAGGCACGAAAGCGUGGGGAGCAAACAGGAUUAGAUACCCGCGUAGUCCCUGUCUCUUAUAC
Molecule: ribosomal RNA, 305 nt
Filed under: uncultured bacterium
Lineage: Bacteria
Description: partial 16S ribosomal RNA
Rfam family: Bacterial small subunit ribosomal RNA
Source: RNAcentral